UUGCUCAGUGCUCAUCUGAGCCCUCUUCCUGUGGCGCUGCUGUGCAGUGUCUACAAACAGCAGUGACCUUAGCAGUAUAUAUAGCCUCUUGCUUGUAGGGGUUGUUGAAGGGACCUUGGAAUCAGCC
This 127-nucleotide small nucleolar RNA is filed under the name Neotoma lepida (desert woodrat). RNAcentral describes it as "Small nucleolar RNA SNORA70". It matches the Rfam family "Small nucleolar RNA SNORA70". Rfam says of the family: snoRNA U70 seems to be exclusive to mammals and is a member of the H/ACA class of snoRNA which contain H (ANANNA) and ACA box motifs. The record is from Rfam by way of RNAcentral. Lineage: Eukaryota; Metazoa; Chordata; Mammalia; Rodentia; Cricetidae.